GGCGCGAUGGCAGAGUGGUUAUGCAGCGGCCUGCAAAGCCGUGUACCCCGGUUCGAUUCCGAGUCGCGCCUCCA
RNAcentral lists this transfer RNA (74 nucleotides) under Pseudomonas sp. RNAcentral's name for it is "tRNA-Cys". It matches the Rfam family "tRNA". Rfam says of the family: Transfer RNA (tRNA) molecules are approximately 80 nucleotides in length. RNAcentral also lists the same sequence under 53 other names. Lineage: Bacteria; Pseudomonadati; Pseudomonadota; Gammaproteobacteria; Pseudomonadales; Pseudomonadaceae. The record is from RNAcentral.